GAUGAAGAACGUAGUGAAAUGCGAUAAGUAGUGUGAAUUGCAGAAUUCAGUGAAUCAUCGAAUCUUUGAACGCACAUUGCGCCCCCUGGUAUUCCGGGGGGCAUGCCUGUCCGAGCGUCAUUGCUGCCCUCAAGCACGGCUUGUGUGUUGGGCCCCCGUCCCCGGUUUCCCCCGGGGACGGGCCCGAAAGGCAGCGGCGGCACCGCGUCCGGUCCUCGAGCGUAUGGGGCUUUGUCACCCGCUCUGUAGGCCCGGCCGGCGCCAGCCGACACCCAACUUUAUUUCUAAGGUUGACCUCGGAUCAGGUAGGGAUACCCGCUGAACUUAAGCAUAUCAAUAAGCGGAGGA
Molecule: unclassified non-coding RNA, 348 nt
Filed under: soil metagenome
Description: partial contains 5.8S ribosomal RNA, internal transcribed spacer 2, and large subunit ribosomal RNA
Rfam family: 5.8S ribosomal RNA (bases 1-120)
Source: RNAcentral